This 433-nucleotide unclassified non-coding RNA is filed under the name soil metagenome. RNAcentral describes it as "partial contains 5.8S ribosomal RNA, internal transcribed spacer 2, and large subunit ribosomal RNA". The stretch from base 1 to 120 matches the Rfam family "5.8S ribosomal RNA", at positions 35 to 154 of the family's 154-position model. The record is from RNAcentral.
GAUGAAGAACGUAGCGAAAUGCGAUACGUAAUGUGAAUUGCAGAAUUCAGUGAAUCAUCGAAUCUUUGAACGCAUAUUGCGCUCUCUGGUAUUCCGGAGAGCAUGCUUGUUUGAGUAUCAGUAAACACCUCAACUUCCAUAUCUUUUUUGAAAUGGGAGUUGGACUUGAGUGAUCCCAACGCUUUUCCUCACCGAAAAGUGGCGGGUUACUUGAAAUGCAGGUGCAGCUGGACUUUUCUCUGAGCUAUAAGCAUAUCUAUUUAGUCUGCCUAAAAAACAGAUUAUUACCUUUGCUGCAGCUAACAUAAAGGAGAUUAGUUCUUGUGCUGACUGAUGCAGGAUUCACAAAGACAGGCUUCGGCCGACUUUGUAAACUCGAUCUCAAAUCAAGUAAGACUGCCCGCUGAACUUAAGAAUAUCAAUAAGCGGAGGA